UACAGAGGGUGCAAGCGUUAAUCGGAAUUACUGGGCGUAAAGCGCACGCAGGCGGAUAUUUAAGUCGGAUGUGAAAUCCCCGGGCUCAACCUGGGAAUUGCACCCGAUACUGGAUAUCUAGAGUAUGGUAGAGGAAAGUGGAACUCCCGGUGUAGCGGUGAAAUGCGUAGAUAUCGGGAAGAACACCAGUGGCGAAGGCGACUUUCUGGACCAAUACUGACGCUCAGGUGCGAAAGCGUGGGGAGCAAACAGG
RNAcentral lists this unclassified non-coding RNA (253 nucleotides) under uncultured Gammaproteobacteria bacterium. RNAcentral describes it as "contains 16S-23S intergenic spacer region". It matches the Rfam family "Bacterial small subunit ribosomal RNA", at positions 524 to 776 of the family's 1533-position model. Lineage: Bacteria; Pseudomonadati; Pseudomonadota; Gammaproteobacteria. The record is from RNAcentral.